AGAGGAGAUAGAUACAUUUUUGAAAGAUCAGCGAAUUGAGGGCUGUGUGGAACCGGCACAGAGGCACCAAACUAAGUUUUUCACUGUAUCUUGGUACAUAUAACAAUGAUAAACCAAUACCACCCUGAAGAAAAAAAACUAUGAUGCUGGAGGAACUCAGCAGGCCAGGAAGCAUCCGUGGAGAAAAGCAAGCAGUCAACGUUUCAGGCAGUCCCUUAGGAUCGAACAUGACUUGUUUCCAACACACAUAAAAGAAACUCCGCAAGUGCAGAAGACAAGGUCAGACCAUUUUGAUUCAGCCAGA
Pristis pectinata (smalltooth sawfish) is the source of this 304-nucleotide long non-coding RNA. RefSeq lists it as uncharacterized. Lineage: Eukaryota; Metazoa; Chordata; Chondrichthyes; Rhinopristiformes; Pristidae. The record is from RefSeq and is a predicted model, not a curated record. The transcript is spliced from 3 exons.